GACGAACGCUGGCGGCGUGCUUAACACAUGCAAGUCGAACGGAAAGGCCCUGCUUUUGUGGGGUGCUCGAGUGGCGAACGGGUGAGUAACACGUGAGUAACCUGCCCUUGACUUUGGGAUAACUUCAGGAAACUGGGGCUAAUACCGGAUAGGAGCUCUUGCUGCAUGGUGGGGGUUGGAAAGUUUCGGCGGUUGGGGAUGGACUCGCGGCUUAUCAGCUUGUUGGUGGGGUAGUGGCUUACCAAGGCUUUGACGGGUAGCCGGCCUGAGAGGGUGACCGGGCAAAAUGGGGGCUGAAAAACGGCCAGAACCCCUGCGGAGGGCGGAGGGGGGAAAUAUUGAAAAGGGGGGGGAGGCUGGAAGCAGAAGCCCCGGGUGGGGGAGGCGGGCUUUGGGUUUGAAAACCGCUUCCGCCGGUGAAAAAGGGGGAGGAAGGGAAGGGGAAAAAGAGAACCGGCAAAACAAGGUG
This 469-nucleotide ribosomal RNA is filed under the name uncultured bacterium. RNAcentral describes it as "partial 16S ribosomal RNA". It matches the Rfam family "Bacterial small subunit ribosomal RNA", at positions 28 to 494 of the family's 1533-position model. The record is from RNAcentral.